AGCAAUAGAAUAGGAAACUCAAGGGUGGUCAGCUCAUCCCCAAGCGAAAGGGGGUGGUGCUGUGACGGUAUUCGAAGCAUUAAUGUUUGCAUGUACUUUUGCAAGCUUAAUCAUUGCGAUCCUGUUGUUUAACCACAGAAAAUAAUCCACCCUUGAGCUUGACGGCCAGGUGGAUUAUUCCCAACAUUGUGCUGUCCCCCUAGAAGGGAAUUUCUAUUGCACUGACCGUAUGGUGUUACCAGCACCAACG
RNAcentral lists this small RNA (250 nucleotides) under Mesobacillus campisalis. RNAcentral describes it as "Bacillus campisalis BsrG". It matches the Rfam family "BsrG". From Rfam's summary of the family: bsrE, bsrG and bsrH pair through intermolecular interactions with antisense sRNAs. SR4 interaction with the 3'UTR of bsrG RNA promotes bsrG degradation and inhibits its translation. SR5 also overlaps bsrG from nucleotide 163 to 52 (Rfam overlap check). Lineage: Bacteria; Bacillati; Bacillota; Bacilli; Caryophanales; Bacillaceae. The record is from Rfam by way of RNAcentral.